AAGUUGUAACAAAAGUUUUCUUAAUUUGCAAGACUUUAAGAUCAGGCUUUAACUUUUAUUAAGCAUCUGUGAAAUAUUUCCUUCCCUAAGGUCCCUUAUCAGUAAUAUAAAUAAUUUUUAUUAAGAUAAAAUUAUCUCCUAAGUUCGGCAUCAAUAUGGUGACCUCCCGGGAGCGGGGGACCACCAGGUUGUCUAAGGAGGGGUGAACCGGCCCAGGUCGGAAACGGAGCAGGUCAAAACUCCCGUGCUGAUCAGUAGUGGGAUCGCGCCUGUGAAUAGCCACUGCACUCCAGCCUGGGCAACAUAGCGAGACCCCGUCUCU
RNAcentral lists this signal recognition particle RNA (322 nucleotides) under Microcebus murinus (gray mouse lemur). RNAcentral's name for it is "Metazoan signal recognition particle RNA (ENSMICG00000032700.2)". The stretch from base 139 to 258 matches the Rfam family "Metazoan signal recognition particle RNA", at positions 115 to 234 of the family's 299-position model. The record is from RNAcentral. Lineage: Eukaryota; Metazoa; Chordata; Mammalia; Primates; Cheirogaleidae.